Long non-coding RNA from Ceratitis capitata (Mediterranean fruit fly), 807 nucleotides. RefSeq lists it as uncharacterized. NCBI's taxonomy places the organism in Eukaryota, Metazoa, Arthropoda, Insecta, Diptera, Tephritidae. The transcript has 3 exons. The record is from RefSeq and is a predicted model, not a curated record.
AAUAUAUACAUACCUACAUGAAAAAGUUUUCAACUGAAUUGCAUUAAAAAUUGAUUCGCAGCGCAAAAAAAAUGAACAGCAAAUCGAAUUAUUUAAAGAAGCUGAGUUAGUCAAAGUUGAAUCCUACAGUAAACCAUAACGAAUUAUGCCGAUAAAAAUAUAUAAAAACAUACAAAGUGCAAUAAGUGUUUAAGCAACCUAAACUUUAUCGAAUGAAUUUACAAUCUAGAAUGUGAUAAUGGUUGUGAUUUUCAUUACAGCGCAUAUUAAAAAAGUGUUGAAGCUGCAGCCGAAAGAUUUGUGGAUUUUAACUAAAUUAUAAGUGUGUUAAAUGUUGGCGUAUGUGAAUACCCUUAUUGUUUAUGCGGUUGGCUGUGGUGAACGAAGUGCAACAGCAGAAACAUAUAUAUAAUUAUAUAUAUAUAUAUAUAGAUAUGUAUAUGAAGAAAUUAAAUUAAAUAUAUGCAUAUAAAAUUUUUACACAUAUCAUUACAAGCAUAUUUGCUCUAGUGUGCGCGUGUGUGUGUAUUGGUGAUAAAUGAAUGAAGCAAUAAAUUUAAAAGUUCAAUUGAUUUCACAUUCAGCAACUGAAGCUGCUGUCACCAUUUAGCCACGCUGUCAAGCUGUCAACAUUGUCAAGUAUCAAGUGACCACACACAUACAUAUGAAAGCGAUGUAUUUAUUUGAGUGUUUGUGUACAAAAGUUCGUGAAAUGUCAAAGUGCCAUUGACAGAGUUCAAUUAUUAAGUGAAUUAAUGAUGAAAUAAGCAGUAAGUGAAGAAAAAAAUUAAAAUGUUAUAUUGUAAA